GAUGAACGCUGGCGGCGUGCCUAAUACAUGCAAGUCGAGCGAACAGACGAGGAGCUUACUCCUCUGACGUUAGCGGCGGACGGGUGAGUAACACGUGGAUAACCUACCUAUAAGACUGGGAUAACUUCGGGAAACCGGAGCUAAUACCGGAUAACAUGUUGAACCGCAUGGUUCAACAGUGAAAGACGGUCUUGCUGUCACUUAUAGAUGGAUCCGCGUCGCAUUAGCUAGUUGGUAAGGUAACGGCUUACCAAGGCAACGAUGCGUAGCCGACCUGAGAGGGUGAUCGGCCACACUAGAACUGAGACACGGUCCAGACUCCUACGGGAGGCAGCAGUAGGGAAUCUUCCGCAAUGGGCGAAAGCCUGACGGAGCAACGCCGCGUGAGUGAAGAAGGUCUUCGGAUCGUAAAACUCUGUUAUUAGGGAAGAACAAAUGUGUAAGUAACUAUGCACGUCUUGACGGUACCUAAUCAGAAAGCCACGGCUAACUACGUG
Molecule: ribosomal RNA, 497 nt
Filed under: uncultured bacterium
Lineage: Bacteria
Description: partial 16S ribosomal RNA
Rfam family: Bacterial small subunit ribosomal RNA
Source: RNAcentral